This 807-nucleotide ribosomal RNA is filed under the name Streptomyces sp. RNAcentral's name for it is "bacterial SSU rRNA". It matches the Rfam family "Bacterial small subunit ribosomal RNA", at positions 67 to 887 of the family's 1533-position model. The record is from RNAcentral. Lineage: Bacteria; Bacillati; Actinomycetota; Actinomycetes; Kitasatosporales; Streptomycetaceae.
CGAUGAACCACAUUCGGUGGGGAUUAGUGGCGAACGGGUGAGUAACACGUGGGCAAUCUGCCCUGCACUCUGGGACAAGCCCUGGAAACGGGGUCUAAUACCGGAUACAACCACUAGGGGCAUCUCUUGGUGGUGGAAAGCUCCGGCGGUGCAGGAUGAGCCCGCGGCCUAUCAGCUUGUUGGUGAGGUAAUGGCUCACCAAGGCGACGACGGGUAGCCGGCCUGAGAGGGCGACCGGCCACACUGGGACUGAGACACGGCCCAGACUCCUACGGGAGGCAGCAGUGGGGAAUAUUGCACAAUGGGCGAAAGCCUGAUGCAGCGACGCCGCGUGAGGGAUGACGGCCUUCGGGUUGUAAACCUCUUUCAGCAGGGAAGAAGCGAAAGUGACGGUACCUGCAGAAGAAGCGCCGGCUAACUACGUGCCAGCAGCCGCGGUAAUACGUAGGGCGCGAGCGUUGUCCGGAAUUAUUGGGCGUAAAGAGCUCGUAGGCGGCUUGUCGCGUCGGUUGUGAAAGCCCGGGGCUUAACCCCGGGUCUGCAGUCGAUACGGGCAGGCUAGAGUUCGGUAGGGGAGAUCGGAAUUCCUGGUGUAGCGGUGAAAUGCGCAGAUAUCAGGAGGAACACCGGUGGCGAAGGCGGAUCUCUGGGCCGAUACUGACGCUGAGGAGCGAAAGCGUGGGGAGCGAACAGGAUUAGAUACCCUGGUAGUCCACGCCGUAAACGGUGGGCACUAGGUGUGGGCAACAUUCCACGUUGUCCGUGCCGCAGCUAACGCAUUAAGUGCCCCGCCUGGGGAGUACGGCC